GUCUGACAGCAUCAUGAAAGGAUCCCUACAGAGAUAGAGCUUUGUGUUUAACCAGAAACAGCCCUGAAGUCACCGUCACCAAACCCACCAGACUCCAUUUAGAUAAGCAGUCAUGUUAGUGUGUAUAGAGGCAGCAUGUUGUCACAUCUAACUGGUGAGUUAAUUUGAACCAAACCAGAGCUGCUGAUUGUUGAACAGUGGAAAGAUGAACCAAGACCAUUUUUGUAAGUUUUAUUUUGUUUCUGUCGACUCUGAAUGAAGUGUGUUUAAUGAUGAUAAGAUGACUGUUGAUCUAAAUCAGGGGUCUGCAACCUUUGCCAUUAAAAGAGCCAUUUUUGACCAAGAAUAAUUUGAAAAAAUCUGUGUGGAGCCGCAAAACAUGUUUGAGCCUUAUAAUCAAGGUAAUUAGCCUAUUAAGUCUAAAUUAGCGUAUACUUAUGGUCUAAAUAAGCAUUUGUUAAUAUGUUUUACCACACAGUGGCCACUGUGCAGGGCACUAUUUAUGAUUAUUUGGUACUUAAAUUUUGCAGAGCUGGCAGUGAGAGCAAACAAAUCUGUCCACACACUACUACAUUCUCUAUUUUAUUCAAUUUACUUUUUUGGAUUUGGCAUCCAUAGCUAACCAGCCACUGCUAUCGAGGUUCAGCAACAUUUGGAUUCAUAGAAUGAAUCUCCAUAGAAUUCUUUUCUCAAAGGCUCAAGGAGCCACUGGACAGGGGCUAAAGAGCCACAUGUGGCUCCGGAGCCACAGGUUGCCUACCCCUGAUCUAAAUGGAGUCUGGUGGGUUUGGUGACGGUGAUUUCAGGGCUGUUUCUGGUUAAACACAAAGCUCUAUCUGUAGGGAUCCUUUCAUAAUGAUUGUUGUUUUAGAAAUUCUGUUUUCACUUCUUUACUGCCACAAUUUGUUUAACUUUGAAAACCCCAAUAAUACAGUCCUCACCUCCUGACAGAGGUGGUUUUAAGGGUUAUAAAAAUACAUGAUGUCACUAAACUGAACAAAUAAAAAGAUGACAAAAAGACAAGCGAGAGAAGGAUGAGGAGGAUAACAUUAGCAGAGAGCUUGAUGUAUGUGGAUUUUAGGAUCGUCAGGAUGAGGUGUCGUGACUUUAACUGUCUGUAGUGCAGAGAAAAUAAUUCAGAAAGGAUUUAAACACACACGUGGACGUCACUCCAGGAGGAGAACAAAAACCAGUGACUCAGACUGGUUUAUUAACGGCAGCAUCACUGGCCUCAGCUGCUCACUGUGUCUCACUGACAGUCAGGACGUCCAGAUGUGCAGUUCUCACCUUCAUGUCUGUCUGUCUGUCUGUCUGUCUGUCUGUCUGUCUGUCUGUUUGUCUCCAGCUGUGGGAACAAGAGGUCCUGUCAGGUCCCCGUCACUGAGCUGGUGUUUGGUGAAUACCCCUGUAAGGAGCAGACCAGGUACCUGGAGGUGUCCUACACCUGCGCCACACCUCCUCCUCCUCCUCCUCCUCCUCCUCCUCCUCCUCCUCCUCCAGCUCCAAUCAAACCUGACUGUAAGGACACAUCAACCGACGAAGCCUGAUGCUUUUAAAACGGUCUCGCUCAUCACUGUGGACAAGAACAGUACAAGAGGACGCCGCCUUCAUUUCUAACAUGUGACUGAGUUUAAACGUCGUGCUGUGACGUCACAUCUGUUUGUUCUUUGAUAUUUGACAUCUGAACAUAAAGUUUGUGAAGAGGAGGCUGAAGUGUCUGUAAAACAUGUCUGAGCUUAUUUUCUCCAAUAAAAUCAAAGUUUUCCUCUGA
Epinephelus moara (kelp grouper) is the source of this 1771-nucleotide long non-coding RNA. RefSeq lists it as uncharacterized. NCBI's taxonomy places the organism in Eukaryota, Metazoa, Chordata, Actinopteri, Perciformes, Serranidae. The record is from RefSeq and is a predicted model, not a curated record. The transcript is spliced from 2 exons.